RNAcentral lists this ribosomal RNA (396 nucleotides) under uncultured bacterium. RNAcentral's name for it is "bacterial SSU rRNA". It matches the Rfam family "Bacterial small subunit ribosomal RNA", at positions 28 to 429 of the family's 1533-position model. The record is from RNAcentral.
GACGAACGCUGGCGGCGUGCUUAACACAUGCAAGUCGAGCGGUAAGGCCCUUUCGGGGGUACACGAGCGGCGAACGGGUGAGUAACACGUGGGUGACCUGCCCUCAGCUCUGGGAUAAGCCUGGGAAACCGGGUCUAAUACCGGAUAUGACUCCAUGACGCAUGUUGUGGGGUGGAAAGCCUUGUGCGGCUGAGGAUGGGCCCGCGGCCUAUCAGCUUGUUGGUGGGGUGANGGCCUACCAAGGCGACGACGGGUAGCCGGCCUGAGAGGGCGACCGGCCACACUGGGACUGAGACACGGCCCAGACUCCUACGGGAGGCAGCAGUGGGGAAUCUUGGACAAUGGGCGCAAGCCUGAUCCAGCCAUGCCGCGUGGGUGAAGAAGGCCUGGUGUAAG